GCGAGUGAGCGGGAAAGCUCAAAUUUAAAAUCUGGUGGUCUUUGGCCAUCCGAGUUGUAAUCUAGAGAAGUGUUACCCGCGUUGGACCGUGUACAAGUCUCCUGGAAUGGAGCGUCAUAGAGGGUGAGAAUCCCGUCUUUGACACGGACUACCAAGGCUUUGUGGUGCGCUCUCAACGAGUCGAGUUGUUUGGGAAUGCAGCUCAAAAUGGGUGGUAAAUUCCAUCUAAAGCUAAAUAUAGGCGAGAGACCGAUAGCGAACAAGUACCGUGAGGGAAAGAUGAAAAGAACUUUGGAAAGAGAGUUAAACAGUACGUGAAAUUGCUGAAAGGGAAACGCUGGAAGUCAGUCGCGUUGGCUAGGAAUCAACCUUACUCUUUUGUAGGGCUUACUUUCUAGUUGACGGGCCAACAUCAAUUUUGAUUGCUGGAAAAGGGCCUAGGGAAUGUGGCACCUUCGGGUGUGUUAUAGCCUUGGGUCGUAUACAGUGGUUGGGAUUGAGGAACGCAGCACGCCGAAAGGUUGGGUCUUUGACCACACUCGUGCUUCGGAUGUUGGCAUAAUGGC
RNAcentral lists this ribosomal RNA (566 nucleotides) under Cyathus pallidus. Its description in RNAcentral is "eukaryotic LSU rRNA". It matches the Rfam family "Eukaryotic large subunit ribosomal RNA", at positions 89 to 638 of the family's 3401-position model. The record is from RNAcentral. Lineage: Eukaryota; Fungi; Basidiomycota; Agaricomycetes; Agaricales; Nidulariaceae.